GUGGGCAGGGCUGAAGGUCCAUUCACAGCCCGUAAACCCCUCAGUCUCAGGGAUCGGGGGUGCUGGUAGUGGGACUGGGAGAAUAGUCUUAAUCUCUCAGGUGGAGGCCUGAGCCCUCAGACCCUACUGCCUAGUAGCUUGACAACUGGUGGUGUCCCCACAAGUUAGGGAAAAGACUCCCAGCCACUCCUUGAGAUGGG
RNAcentral lists this long non-coding RNA (200 nucleotides) under Homo sapiens (human). Its description in RNAcentral is "HSALNT0104799". The record is from RNAcentral. Lineage: Eukaryota; Metazoa; Chordata; Mammalia; Primates; Hominidae.